Molecule: ribosomal RNA, 253 nt
Filed under: uncultured bacterium
Lineage: Bacteria
Description: partial 16S ribosomal RNA
Rfam family: Bacterial small subunit ribosomal RNA
Source: RNAcentral
UACGGAGGAUGCGAGCGUUAUCCGGAUUUAUUGGGUUUAAAGGGUGCGUAGGCGGAUUGAUAAGUUAGAGGUGAAAUGUCCGAGCUCAACUCGGGAACUGCCUCUAAUACUGUUGAUCUAGAGAGUAGAUGCGGUAGGCGGAAUGUAUGGUGUAGCGGUGAAAUGCUUAGAGAUCAUACAGAACACCGAUUGCGAAGGCAGCGCACCGGCGCCCUACUGACGCUCAGGCACGAAAGCGUGGGUAUCGAACAGG